Molecule: RNA transcript, 2781 nt
Organism: Zingiber officinale
Lineage: Eukaryota; Viridiplantae; Streptophyta; Magnoliopsida; Zingiberales; Zingiberaceae
Gene name: probable beta-1,3-galactosyltransferase 14
Exons: 8
Source: RefSeq, a predicted model, not a curated record
CUUGUUUGGAGCCCUAAGCAGGUUCAUCUCCCGACCUAAACAAGUCGAACGAACUUUGUAUCUCCUGACGCAGAUUGAGCAGGGUCGUCCCCAAUUCUCCCAAACCACCCUUUCUUUCUUUGUUGUUAGAGGAACAGAACACCAUCAAUCCUCGUCUUUAGAUACUAAAAAAGAUCAAGUUCUACCAGUGUUAUGAGUCGAAUCGAGCGAUGCCGAUGUCACCCAAGAUCUUCUACUACCGCCCAGCGUCCCGCUUCCGCCGCUUCUCCUCCUCCGCCUUCCCCAUCCUUUGCCUAAGCCUCGGCCUCGCCGGUGUGCUGUUCGGCGUUUUCUCCAUCACGAGUCCCUCUAGAAAGUGUCAGGAUGGCGAACCCAGGUCGGUCUCUGUUGUGUGGGACCGUAAUGGCGGCGACGGAGCUGGUGGUGGAGUGCUGGAGCGCCACAAGGUGAUGGCUUUCGUCGGGAUCCAGACAGGGUUUGGAUCUGUCGGCCGGCGGAGGGCUAUCAGGCAGACCUGGUUGCCCUCCAGUCGCCAAGGUCUUCUUCGCUUGGAAGAGGCGACUGGCUUGGCUUUCAGAUUUGUUAUAGGAAAGACCAAUGAUAAAUCAAAAAUGGCAGCGCUUCAAACGGAGGUGAAUGAGUAUGAUGAUUUCAUGCUUAUAGAUAUUGUGGAAGAGUACAGCAAUCUUCCAUACAAAACGUUGGCUUUCUUUAAAGCAGCGUUUGCCCUUUAUGAUUCCGAUUUCUAUGUGAAAGCAGAUGAUGAUAUAUAUUUGAGGCCAGAUCGCCUUUCCUUGCUUUUGGCAAAAGAGCGACCAACUACUCAAACAUAUCUCGGAUGCAUGAAGAAGGGCCCUGUUUACACUGACCCUAACCUCAAGUGGUAUGAGCCACUAGCACACCUGCUUGGGAUAGAAUAUUUUCUUCAUGCUUAUGGUCCCAUAUAUGCGCUUUCAACAGAUGUAGUUUCAAGCUUGGUUGCACUGAGAAACAACAGUUUCCGAAUGUUCAGCAAUGAGGAUGUCACAAUAGGUUCCUGGAUGCUUGCUAUGAAUGUCAACCAUGAGAACAACCUUGCUCUUUGUGAGCCUGAUUGCUCAUCAUCAUCAAUCGCUGUUUGGGAUAUUCCAAGAUGCUCAGAUCUGUGCUUGAACGUUGAUUAUAUGUUUGUGAGGCCAAAUGUGUGAAUAAGAAGGAAGAGAAGCAGAUGCUCCUCAACUAUUUGGUCCAUCUUACUCCUUUGAGCUCUAAGUUACAUCACUACUAAUGCAGGAAGAUCACUUAAGUCGUCUUCUUUUGUUAGUCUGACUAUGCAUCCUAUCUUUAAUUUAGAGAAGAUCAUUUCCCCCCUCAUAGUUCACCUACUUUUUCAUUUGGUCCCCAAUAGUAAAAAUUAUUGUCUCUUACCUCCAUAAUUUAUAAAAUUGAAACAAAAUAUCACCUCCAUAAACACAAAAGACAUUGUUCCUCCACGUGGCAAGCAAAUGAUAAGAUAGGUGGAAGUUUUGGAAAGGAAAAUUUGUGUUUCCUAGCCUUUCUACUCUUUAACUUUCCCCACCCUUAUCUUCCUAUUGUCAUAUGAUUUGACUGUCUAGUAUUUGUUAUUGCAUGUUCAAUUGAUUAUCUCAACAAAAAAAAUGUCAUAAUUAUAAAAUAAUGCAAGAUGUUGGAUAAAGGGAUCAAGUUCUGUAUAAAACAAAACCAUAAAUCUCAUUCUACCCAAUUAAUUCAACCAUUUAUGUAUAAUAUGUCUAAUAUAACUUCAUCUUAUUGUCACGUUUGCAACACAUACCAUGAAAAAAUCAUUGUUUGCACAAGACCAGAAAUAACAUUAAGAUCAUUGUUUUGGCCUUUGACCGAAAUGAUAGUGUUUUGGUAUCUUGCUUACAUUCAAAGAAAAAGAUAACAACUAGAGUUCACUGUUUGUUUUGUAUCUAGAAUGCUACGAUUUUAUCAUAUUAUUUUAUGUGAAAACAAACUGCUAAAUAAAAAAAUAAUAACAUUAUCACAAUUUUUGUAUGUCAAGGGGUGUCAAAGUGUUGAUGAAAUGAUACUCAUUGACAUAAGUAACCCAACCCAAUAACAUAUGAUACCUUGUUUUGGUACUGAGUGGUUUCUAGUUUCUGGUAUUUAUUAGAGCGAUACAUUUCGACUGUUUUGUCUGGCUGGCUUGGUAUGAGAUUUUAAAUCAUGCUUAUAUCAUUCAAUUCUUCAAGAAAUAAUUAAUUUGAAUGAGCAAGAUGAGUUUUAGGUUUAGGUAUGCCAAACAGAUUGGGUUGAUAGGCUCGAAACUUCAAGUGGAUCGUUAAACCAAUUAGGCCUCUGCAACCCAGAGAGGAAGAUGCUACAACUCCACAAAAAUGAGAUAUGUUUAGGAACUCCUACAUCAUCUGAUGAAUGAGAAAGCUAGAAACAUGGAAAGGGAUAGAAAAGUAUCCAACUGGCAACCAGAAUUAAGAAGAAAGUGAGCUUCUGUGACCAGCAUAUGUAAUCUGUUUGCUGGCAUUAGUUCUUGUGUACAAUUUGAUUCGAGGCAUCCAUAUCAUUCUUUCAAAAUCAUUAGUACUAGUUUACUGGUAAAGAAGAACGCUUAUAAGGGAGUAAUACUUCUAGGUCUCUUUUGGAUUGUAACUUCAAAAAUUUUAUGGAUGUGAGGACACAGCCACUACUUAAAUUUAUAGGUGAGAGUGGUUCUCGUCUUCUUCAUAGUUCAAAGCUUCUGCGGAUGCUUUAAUUAUGAUUAUCUUAAGGGUGUGUUUGGUUGAGGGUUAUCCUUGAUAA